Molecule: ribosomal RNA, 427 nt
Filed under: uncultured bacterium
Lineage: Bacteria
Description: bacterial SSU rRNA
Rfam family: Bacterial small subunit ribosomal RNA
Source: RNAcentral
UGGGGAAUAUUGGACAAUGGGCGCAAGCCUGAUCCAGCCAUGCCGCGUGGGCGAAGAAGGCCUUCGGGUUGUAAAGCCCUUUUGUUGGGAAAGAAAUCCUGUCGGCUAAUACCCGGCGGGGAUGACGGUACCCAAAGAAUAAGCACCGGCUAACUUCGUGCCAGCAGCCGCGGUAAUACGAAGGGUGCAAGCGUUACUCGGAAUUACUGGGCGUAAAGCGUGCGUAGGCGGUUCGUUAAGUCUGUCGUGAAAGCCCUGGGCUCAACCUGGGAAUUGCGAUGGAUACUGGCGAGCUAGAGUACGGUAGAGGAUGGUGGAAUUCCCGGUGUAGCGGUGAAAUGCGUAGAGAUCCGGAGGAACACCAGAGGCGAAGGCGGCACUCUAAGCCGUACCUGACACUGAGACGCGACAGCACGGGGAGCAAACG